UGGCCACUUCUAAUUUUGCCUGGAUCGCAUGAGGCUGAUAACAAUCGCAGUUUUCCCACAGUCGCAUUUAAAAACCUCACUUCUUUGACCAGACUUUUGAUCACCAUUGUGUGUGUGUGUAGACAGAUUCGGCUUAUAUAAGGAUAUGAACAGCUUUGGACCUUGGUUGAUCAAACCCAUUUUGAUGAAUGAGGCCGCUGCUGUCCAGGCAGCAUUUAUUGCCUGUCCCUAAUUGCGCAGAGGGUAGAUAAGAGCCAACCGC
Molecule: long non-coding RNA, 262 nt
Organism: Stegostoma tigrinum
Lineage: Eukaryota; Metazoa; Chordata; Chondrichthyes; Orectolobiformes; Stegostomatidae
Exons: 3
Source: RefSeq, a predicted model, not a curated record